AUGGAUCUAAGGAUCACAGUCUAGUUUAUCGAUAGGCUAUUUUCAAGCUCAGAAACCAACCUUAAAGUCAGUGACAUCGCAUCUCUUCGUACCACUUGUGUGUUUUGCUCAAAACAAUCACCAGCGCGCCACCAUAAACGAAGUCCGACGACUUUGCAUCACGACAACCAGCAUUCCGUUCGACCCAACUUAACGGUCCCUGAAUAAUCGAUCGUCUCCGUUCAUGUCAUUGAGCCAAUUUCGUUUGCCUGUUCUAAGCGGCAGCGGACCUCCGACGUAUUGUUAGAAGAUAUUUGUUGAAUCUCUAUUACUUGGUCUACUAUCUCUCUCUAAGGCUGUCACUUUAACUCAGUUCCGAUUGAUAGUUCGAUAGCUCUAGUCGGUUGUCUUCGAUAAACUCCCAUCAGUUACUAAGGUUUUUGAUUGUUUAAGGACGACUAAAUUCUUUUGAUUUGGUUUGCUUGCUAAUAAGACUUGUCGUUGGGGCGUCAACGACAUGGCACUUAUCGUGACGGUAUUGAAUGGGAACAACAGGAAAUAGUUUCAUUGUUCACUACUGAUGGAU
Molecule: long non-coding RNA, 565 nt
Filed under: Helianthus annuus (common sunflower)
Lineage: Eukaryota; Viridiplantae; Streptophyta; Magnoliopsida; Asterales; Asteraceae
Source: RNAcentral